This 253-nucleotide ribosomal RNA is filed under the name uncultured Sorangium sp. Its description in RNAcentral is "partial 16S ribosomal RNA". It matches the Rfam family "Bacterial small subunit ribosomal RNA", at positions 524 to 776 of the family's 1533-position model. The record is from RNAcentral. Lineage: Bacteria; Pseudomonadati; Myxococcota; Polyangiales; Polyangiaceae.
GACAGAGGGUGCAAACGUUGUUCGGAAUUACUGGGCGUAAAGCGUGUGUAGGCGGCCACGUAAGUCAGGUGUGAAAGCCCCAGGCUUAACCUGGGAAGUGCACUUGAUACUGCAUGGCUUGAGUAUCGGAGAGGUUGGUGGAAUUCUCGGUGUAGAGGUGAAAUUCGUAGAUAUCGAGAGGAACACCGGUGGCGAGGGCGGCCAACUGGACGAAUACUGACGCUGAGACACGAAAGCGUGGGGAGCAAACAGG